RNAcentral lists this ribosomal RNA (490 nucleotides) under uncultured bacterium. Its description in RNAcentral is "partial 16S ribosomal RNA". It matches the Rfam family "Bacterial small subunit ribosomal RNA", at positions 28 to 507 of the family's 1533-position model. The record is from RNAcentral.
GAUGAACGCUAGCUACAGGCUUAACACAUGCAAGUCGCGGGGCAGCAUGGGGGUUGCUUGCAAUCCCCGAUGGCGACCGGCGCACAGGUGAGUAACGCGUAUCCAACCUGCCCUUCACCACGGGAUAACCCGGCGAAAGUCGGACUAAUACCGUAUGUUGUCCAUUGACGGCAUCCGAUUUGGACGAAAGGCUUGGCGGUGAGGGAUGGGGAUGCGUCCGAUUAGCCAGACGGCGGGGUAACGGCCCACCGUGGCUACGAUCGGUAGGGGUUCUGAGAGGAAGGUCCCCCACACUGGAACUGAGACACGGUCCAGACUCCUACGGGAGGCAGCAGUGAGGAAUAUUGGUCAAUGGGCGUAAGCCUGAACCAGCCAAGUAGCGUGCAGGAUGACGGCCCUAUGGGUUGUAAACUGCUUUUAUGCGGGGAUAAAGUGGCCCACGUGUGGGCUUUUGCAGGUACCGCAUGAAUAAGGACCGGCUAAUUCCGUG